Molecule: unclassified non-coding RNA, 128 nt
Filed under: uncultured Ascomycota
Lineage: Eukaryota; Fungi; Ascomycota
Description: sequence contains ITS2
Source: RNAcentral
GCGUCGUAAGGCCCAGCCUUGUGUUGAGAUCUCCUUCGCCAGGAUUUCUCCAAACCCAUCGGCGACGUCAGUGCCGGAACCGCAGCACAAAUGUGACUACGGCUUCUGGCGCCGCCCAAAAUCGUCAU